RNAcentral lists this non-coding RNA (22 nucleotides) under Arabidopsis thaliana (thale cress). Lineage: Eukaryota; Viridiplantae; Streptophyta; Magnoliopsida; Brassicales; Brassicaceae. The record is from RNAcentral.
AGAAUCCUGAUGAUGCUGCAUU